RNAcentral lists this transfer RNA (74 nucleotides) under Rothia mucilaginosa. RNAcentral's name for it is "tRNA-Ala". It matches the Rfam family "tRNA". Rfam says of the family: Transfer RNA (tRNA) molecules are approximately 80 nucleotides in length. Lineage: Bacteria; Bacillati; Actinomycetota; Actinomycetes; Micrococcales; Micrococcaceae. The record is from RNAcentral.
GGGCUGUUAGCUACAACUGGUAGAGCACCUGCUUUGCAAGCAGGGGGUUACGGGUUCGAGUCCCGUACAGUCCA